GAGUUUGAUCCUGGCUCAGAUUGAACGCUGGCGGCAGGCUUAACACAUGCAAGUCGAACGGUAACAUGAGUGCUUGCACUUGAUGACGAGUGGCGGACGGGUGAGUAAUGUAUGGGGAUCUGCCGAAUGGAUUGGGACAACAGUUGGAAACGACUGCUAAUACCGAAUAAUGUUGCGAGACCAAAGGGUGCUUACGGGCACUUGCCAUUUGAUGAACCCAUAUGAGAUUAGCUAGUUGGUGGGGUAAAGGCUCACCAAGGCGACGAUCUCUAGCUGGUCUGAGAGGAUGACCAGCCACACUGGAACUGAGACACGGUCCAGACUCCUACGGGAGGCAGCAGUGGGGAAUAUUGCACAAUGGGGGAAACCCUGAUGCAGCCAUGCCGCGUGUAUGAAGAAGGCCUUAGGGUUGUAAAGUACUUUCGGUGAUGAGGAAGUUAUGUGUGGGAUAAGCGCAUAUAAUUGACGUUAGUUACAGAAGAAGCACCGGCUAACUCCGUGCCAGCAGCCGCGGUAAUACGGAGGGUGCGAGCGUUAAUCGGAAUGACUGGGCGUAAAGGGCAUGUAGGCGGAUGAUUAAGUUAGGUGUGAAAGCCUCGGGCUCAACCUGAGAAUAGCAUUUAAAACUGGUCAUCUGGAGUACUGUAGAGGGAGGUAGAAUUCCACGUGUAGCGGUGAAAUGCGUAGAGAUGUGGAGGAAUACCGGUGGCGAAGGCGGCCUUCUGGACAGAUACUGACGCCGAGAUGCGAAAGCGUGGGGAGCAAACAGGAUUAGAUACCCUGGUAGUCCACGCUGUAAACGAUGUCGAUUUGGAGUUUGUUGCCUAGAGUGAUGGGCUCCGAAGCUAACGCGAUAAAUCGACCGCCUGGGGAGUACGGCCGCAAGGUUAAAACUCAAAUGAAUUGACGGGGGCCCGCACAAGCGGUGGAGCAUGUGGUUUAAUUCGAUGCAACGCGAAGAACCUUACCUGGUCUUGACAUCCACAGAAUCUUGCAGAGAUGAGGGAGUGCCUUCGGGAACUGUGAGACAGGUGCUGCAUGGCUGUCGUCAGCUCGUGUUGUGAAAUGUUGGGUUAAGUCCCGCAACGAGCGCAACCCUUAUCCUUUGUUGCCAGCGAUUAGGUCGGGAGCUCAAGGGAGACUGCCGUUGAUAAAGCGGAGGAAGGUGGGGACGACGUCAAGUCAUCAUGGCCCUACGACCAGGGCUACACACGUGCUACAAUGGCGUAUACAAAGGGAGGCGA
This 1244-nucleotide ribosomal RNA is filed under the name uncultured Gammaproteobacteria bacterium. RNAcentral describes it as "bacterial SSU rRNA". It matches the Rfam family "Bacterial small subunit ribosomal RNA", at positions 9 to 1252 of the family's 1533-position model. Lineage: Bacteria; Pseudomonadati; Pseudomonadota; Gammaproteobacteria. The record is from RNAcentral.